CUAUAGCAGCUCCAUGUCAUUGCACCCGCUACUUACAAAAAGAUGCACUUCGUGACAAAGUGAUUCGUCACAAAGCAAAUUUUUGGUAAAUUCGGCGAAUCAGUCAAAUCAAACUUUUCAAUUAUUCGCUCAUCUCUAAGACUGACCUU
This is a long non-coding RNA of Bufo bufo (common toad), 149 nucleotides long. RefSeq lists it as uncharacterized. The record is from RefSeq and is a predicted model, not a curated record. Lineage: Eukaryota; Metazoa; Chordata; Amphibia; Anura; Bufonidae. The transcript has 3 exons.